UGGCGGAUAGCUCAGCUGGGAGAGCGCGGCCCCUACAAGGCCGAGGUCGGAGGUUCGAUCCCUCCUCCGCCUACCA
This 76-nucleotide transfer RNA is filed under the name Candidatus Rokuibacteriota bacterium. RNAcentral describes it as "Candidatus Rokubacteria bacterium tRNA-Val". It matches the Rfam family "tRNA". From Rfam's summary of the family: Transfer RNA (tRNA) molecules are approximately 80 nucleotides in length. Their secondary structure includes four short double-helical elements and three loops (D, anti-codon, and T loops). Further hydrogen bonds mediate the characteristic L-shaped molecular structure. tRNAs have two regions of fundamental functional importance: the anti-codon, which is responsible for specific mRNA codon recognition, and the 3' end, to which the tRNAs corresponding amino acid is attached (by aminoacyl-tRNA synthetases). tRNAs cope with the degeneracy of the genetic code in two manners: having more than one tRNA (with a specific anti-codon) for a particular amino acid; and 'wobble' base-pairing, i.e. permitting non-standard base-pairing at the 3rd anti-codon position. The record is from RNAcentral. Lineage: Bacteria; Candidatus Rokuibacteriota.